Long non-coding RNA from Rhincodon typus (whale shark), 3957 nucleotides. RefSeq lists it as uncharacterized. The transcript has 3 exons. The record is from RefSeq and is a predicted model, not a curated record. Lineage: Eukaryota; Metazoa; Chordata; Chondrichthyes; Orectolobiformes; Rhincodontidae.
GGGGUCUUGAAGAUGAGGAAGGUAUUUUUCCCUCUCUCAAUUACAAUCCAAAAGCUGGGGGCUUUCUUUCUAGGCUGCAGGGCUGCAUGUGAGACAAAAUCUGUUUUCUGAAUUUGCCUUUUUAUCAAAGAUUACCAGCAUUCUCAGUACUUUGCUUCAUUAAAAUCAACAAUUGGUGUGAAACUUGUCAUUUAGCAUGAACAAAGAAAUCUGGAUGGGCUGUGCAGGUGAUGGUCCACGGUGGCAUUACCCCCAAGAAAUGAAAAUGUGUCUUUCUCAGCCCCCGCUUACCUGAUCAAUACUAUAUUGCUCUUUGUGGAACCUGUGGCAUACAUAUUGAAUGUAUGUUUCAGGUGAUUUAUUGGCUGCAAAGUGCCUUGAUCUGACAGUGAAGACAUUACGUGAAUAACUCCAGGAACGGGAUGAAAAAAUAUAACUCCCAUAAUCGUACAGAAUGUGAUCACAGGAGCCAUUACUUCAAGAUGUACAAGACUGACAACAAGACUCCUAAGACCACUAGGAAUCAUGGUAGCCCACAGCCACUCUACAACAAAUACUCAUGAGGAUUAAAGACCCCAUUCCCACAACAUGCAGAACCAACGUGGUUUACAAAAUACCAUGCAACGACUGCCACAAACACUACAUCGGACAGACAGGAAGGAAACUAUCCAUCAGAAUACACAAACAUCAGCUAGCAGCAAAACAGAACAACGAACUCUCCUUAAUAUCGGUACACUCAGACAAUGAAGGAAAUCAGUUUAACUGGGACAAGGUAACCAUAGUAGCCCAAGUCAAACAUAGACACGGACAGGAAUUGCUAGAGGCAUGGUUCUCCACUCAUAAUGCAAUCAACAAACACAUAGAAUUGGACCCCUUAUACAAACCUGUACAGAAGGGACUGGGUGGGAUGCUCUUCAGAGGGGCACUGUGGAUCUGUUGGGCCAAAUGGCCUGUUUCCACAUUGUAGGGAUUUUGUCAUUCUAUGAAAACUGGAAAUGACAGUAUUCACCAUAACGGACCAGACAGUGUAAAUUCCAAGCGGAGUAGAAUAACAUCACUUCAUCGGAGGCCUCACUGAUGAUGGCACCUAGCGUGGUGACGAAACAUCUGCAUGAGAACAAGACAGCUCGGCGAGCAAGUCAACAACCUCACCCACAACCCGAGCUACAGAUCUUUGCUAACCCUUAGUCUUUUCUACCUGAUUGCCUUGUCCAAAGAGUUGCAGUGAAGUGUUUCUUAUAGCAUUCUUCUCCUUGUUGAGCAGUUAAGGAACUUUUGCAGAGAGUGCUGAGGGGAGGAAAACAUUGGCUUUAUAUAUGAAACAUCUUAAUGUGGCUUCAUCUUGUCAUGAAGCUGCAAAGGAGAGGAAGGUGAUCAUCACCAUCACUGAAUCCCCACUAUCAACAUUCAGGGUUACCAUUGAUCCAUUCAGGUUUGGCAGGAAGAAUAAAUGAGAUGAAUACGAUUUAAAUGGAGACAAACUGCAGAAAACUACAGAAGGGAGACCGUCAUGAGAGAAGGCAACUGAAUCAUUGGAUUUUAUUUCAAAGGGAAGAAUGAUACAAAGCACAAGGUUUUGCUAAAACCAUAUCAGACAUGAUCAAACCACAGAUGAAUUACUGUGGACAGUUUUGGUCACCCUGUCUUUUUCUUUAUUUUCAUUCCCAGGAUAUAGGAUUCACCUGCCAGGCCAGCAUUUAUUGCCCAUCCCCAGUUGUUCUAGCAGGCAGUUCAGAAGCUAGCAUAUUGCUGUUGGUCUGGAGUCACUUGUAGGUCACACCAGGCAAUUAAGGAACAGUGCAGGAAGGCAUGCCAAAUGUAGUACCAGCAUUCCUAAAAAUGAGGUGUCAACCUAGUGGAGCAGAAAACAGGACUGUCUGCAUGCUAAACAGAAUAAACAACAAGUGAUAGACAGAGCUAAGCAAUGCCACAACCAACGGAUCAGAUCUAGGCUCUGCAGUCCUGCCACAUCCAGUCAUGAAUGGUGGUGGAUGAUCAGAAAUUCACUGGAGGUGGAGGAUCUACAAAUAUCCCUAUCCUCAAUAAUGGAAGGGCAUGGCACAUCAGUGCAAAAGACAAGACUGAAGCAUCUGCAACAUUCUACAGUCAGAAGUGCUGAGUGGAUGAUCAAUUUCAGCCUCUUCCAGAGGUUCCAACCAUCACAGAUACCACUCUUCAGCCAAUUUGAUUCUUUCAAGGCAUUGAAUAAGAUAAAGGCUAUGGGCUGUGACAACAUUCUGGCAAUAGUACUGAAGACUUGUGCUCUAGAACUUGUCACAUCCCUCAGCAAACUGUUUCUGUAAAACUGCAACUCUGGCAUUUACCAGACAAUGUGGAAAAUUACCCAGGUAUGUCCUGUACAUAAGAAGUAGGACAACUCUAUCCCAGCCAGUUACCACUCCAUCAGCCUACUUUCAACCAUCAGUAAAGCGAUGGAAGGUGUCACCAACAGUGCUAUCAAGCAGCACCUGCUCAGCAAUAACCUGCUCAGUGAUGCCCAGUUUGGGUUCCGCUAGGGCCACUCAGCUGUUGACCUCAUUACAGCCUUGGUUCAAACAUGGACAAAAGAGCGGCAUUCCAGAGGUGAGGUGAGAAUGUCACAAAGGCUGCAUUUGACCAAAUUGUGGCAUUAAGGAGCACUAGCAAAACUGGAAUCAGUAGAAAUCAAGGUAAUAAGUCUCCAUUGAUUGGAGUCAUACAUAGCACAAAGGAAGAUGAUUUGGGCCAUUGGUAAUCAGCCAACUUAACUCCAGGACAUUUCUGCAGGAGUUCCUCAGGUUACUGCCCUAGGCCUAAUCAUUUUCAGCUGCUACAUCAAUGACAAAUGAUUGCACCAUUUACCAUUUAGGACCAUUCACAACUCCUCAGAUACUGAAACAGUCCAUGCCCAAAUGCAGCACGAUCUGAGUAAUAUUCAGGCUUGGGCUGAAAAUUGGCAAGUGACAUUUGUCCCACACAAAUGCCAGUCAAUGACCAUCUCCAACGAGAGAGAAUCUAACCAAUUCCCCUUGACAUUCAACGGUAUUACCCUUACUGAAUCAGCCACUACCCUGGGGGUCACUAUUGACCAGAAACUGAACUGGACUAGCCAUUUGAAUACAGAACCAAUAGGAGAAGGUCAGAGAUUAGGAAUCCUGUGAGUAACUCACCACCUGACUGCCCGACUGUUCACCAUCUAUAAGGCACAAGUCAGCAAUGUGAGGGAAUAAUCCCCACCUACCUGGAUAAGUACAGCCUCAACAAUACUUGAUAGUCUUGACAUCAUAAAGCAGUCCACUUGAUUGACACCACAUCCACAAACAUCCAUUCCCUCCACCACCAACAAUCAACAGCUGUGGGCACUGUCUAUAAGAUGCUUUGUAGAAAUUUUCCAAGGUUCCUUAGACAGCCCUUUCUGAUGCAUGGUUCCAUUAAACCUGUUGACAGCUGCGAAAGUUUUUCCAGAGUCAAACACUUCCAGAUGCUGCCUGCUAAUUGCUUUGAACUUGUGUCUUUCUUCCACCACAGCAUGAAUGGUAUAUUCUUCAGGUUAGCCCAGAAGAUUUUUCUGGAAGGAUACGAUGAGUGUACCGGCAAUCACCAGUUCGACAAGACUUUCAGCUAAGUUAGCUUCUGUGAAAUCAUAGUCCACAUAUUUGCAUCAACACCUGCCUAAGAAUCGAUCAAUUAUUUCACCUGAAUAAUGGUCAUAUGCCAUGAACCCAUGUCUGUGUUCCAUAAAUUGACUCCAAUGUUGUGUUGAUUGUUUAAAUUCUGAAGAAUUUUAUCAGGAUCAUUGCAAUCAUUGUCAGAAACGCCAGAGGAUUGUAUUCGUCUUGAAGCAAAGAUUGAUUCUUCCUUUAAAUAACUGAUGUUCUGACAGAAUGUCAAAUAUGUGCCAAUCCAUGCUCAGAUGUUUACUUUUGAUCUUUCUUUGUCCUCUUUAACUGUCAAAAUAAAAAUCUGUAUUGUAGUGGU